AUAGCUGCAGGUAUGAUGCAAGUCUGUGCAUGUCUGGAGACUAUGUCUAACCAAGGAUUUUCUUAGUGAAGUAGUAAAACUGAACUCUGUGGAAUUUUGAGAAAUAAUUCGCUCAGCGGCCAGCCACUGACACGUAUAGAGGAGCUUUGUGCAAGCACCAAUUAUCAAAAGGCUGUGCUUUCAUCCACACCAUUAAUUUCUGAAGGCAGAAGAGAGCAUGAUGAUGAAAGUGUCUUACAAGAUUAACAUCUCCAGUAUCACAGCUUUAAAGAAGUAGGACUGGAAUCUGAAACCAUAACUGCCUGAUCCAAAACUUAUAAAUAUUCAUAUAGAGCUGACUACUGGUGAGGCUAAAGCAUCUGAGGAGACAAAGGGAGGGCUUAUAGAAGGAGACCUUCGGAAUUCCUGCCAUGGCACAGUGGGUUAAGAAUCCAACCACAGUGGCUUGGUUACUUUUAAUCCUAGCCCAGCACAGUGGGUUAAGGUAUCUGGCAUUGCUGCAGCUGUAGCAGUAGGCUACAGCUGUGGCUAGAAUACAAUCCCUGGCCCGGGUACUUCCAUAUGCCUCAGAGCCCAGAGCCCCUGUGUUUGGAGUUGGCUGGACUGUGGAGACUUUGGAAAGGUCCUGCUGCCAGGAGUUAAGCACGAAAUCUUGGAACUGAAUUUUACAGAAUUACUUCUGAACCAGUAUGGAACAUUUUAUGAACCUACACAAAGCUUCUGAUUCCUGGAACGGCCUCGCUGUGGUGAUUUUCCUGCAUGGAUCUGGAGAUACAGAGCUUGGAUGGGCAAGAAGCCUUUGCAGUUUGCUGUCCUUGGAAGCCAAAAACUGCUCUCCUUUGUCCUGUCAUUUCUUUACAAACAUUUUGUCCUUUAUUGAAGAUACUAUAUAAGACCUCAGUUCUAAGCUGAGGCUUUGAGCCACUCUUUGUUUUGGGUUUCUCCUGCUUGAUGUGCACUGCAGGGGUUCAUAAACGCUUUUUCUCUUAAUAUGUCUUUUUUUUUUUGGCCACCCCGUGGCAGAUGGAAUUCCCCAGGGCGGGGGAUCAGAUCCAAGCUGCAGUUGCAACCUACGCUGCAGCUGUGGCAAUGCCAUAUGCUUUAACCCACUGUGCAGGGCCUGGGAUUGAAUCUGUGUCCUGGUGCUUAAAAGACACGGCCAAUCAUGUUGUGCCAUAGUGGGACUCUAAUAUGUCAUCAUCUUAGAGCCUCAGCUGACAACUGAAGAUGGGUAGAAAGUUUUGCCUCCCUCAUUCAAGUUGUAUAUCCUCCCUGCAGUAUGCAGGAAAAAGUUAACUCUCUCCGUGGCUGGCAAUUACCCUGGGACUGGCCACCCCCAAGGAUUCAGCUACCUAUUGUUGAUUCUGAACUUUUAGGGUCAGCCUCCCUGGUAGAAUGUCUCCCCUCUAAUAUGUUGAACACUGGAAUUUUUAAAUAGAACCCCAAGAUCUAGGCAUUUUAAAAACUCUCAACUAAAAAAAAAAAAAAAAAAAAUUAGAACUUAUUUUACAUAGCAGUAAUUUUUUUUUUUAUCUUUUUAGGACAAUACCUGUGGCAUAUGGAAGUUCCCAGGCUAGGGGUCGACUUGGAGCUGUAGCUGCUGGCCUGCAUCACAGCCACAGCAACACCAGAUCCGAACCGCGUCUAUGAACUAUACCACAGCUCAUGGCAACGCCGGAUCCUUUAACUCAUUGAGUGAGGCCAGGGAUCAAACCUUCGUCCUCAUGGAUUCUAGCCAGAUUUGUUUCCACUGAGCCACGACUAGAACUCCCACAGUAAUGUGUUUUUGUGUGAAGAAACACAAAAGCAUUUGCUUCAUGUCACAACCCACCCUAUAGCUAUAUCUUCUUUUCUACUGGAUGAUCUUUUUCCCAUGAAAGUUACAUUUGAAAUGUUACAUGUGUUAUUAGAUAGCUUCUAAAUUUUCUCUACUUGAAAACUCAGUGACAUUACAUAGGAAGGCUACAAUCAUAUUUAAAUAUGAUUAGAGUUCAUUGUACAUUAAACCUGGGCAAGAAAAAUCUGAUUUUGACUUAAUAUUCUUACUGUGUAACAGAAAGUACAGAUUCUAGUCCCUUAGUGAAUCACCCCCAUUCUUUAUCAAUUGUGUUGUAGACCUAAUGAAUGACUGUAGUUUCUCUUGAGGAAAAUUAUAGCAAAAGUGUUUUUUGAGUUUUUUUACAUGUUUUCUGUUUUUGUUUUUUGGGUUUUUUUUUUUUUUGCAAUAAAACCUAAACUUACACACUUUUGAAAAGGAUUGAAAAAUUUAGUGUUCUAGCUAACAUUUACAGGGAAAGAUAAGUUUAUUCCAGUCCCCUUGGAACUGAAUAUGAAUAUAUAGUACCGCACCCCCAGCUAGGCCAGAUCCUAUCUUUCAAGAGGAUUGGAGAUCUUUUCAUGAGAAAAAGAAACACAUGGAAGAGAGAUGUGAAUUUUACCUGCACUGGCAAAAUCUUAUAAUCCUUCUGGAAUGAUGCUGAGGGGGAAAGGCCACACACUCUUUUGGGACUACUCCCUAUAUUUACAUCAGCUUUUCUUUCUCCUAGUAUUAUAAGACAGCAAUAAGAAUAGAUCAAUAAUAUGUAUAAAUCGAUGUAAUAAGAGCUGUAUUAAAUAAAGUUCUGUUGUA
This 2629-nucleotide long non-coding RNA is filed under the name Sus scrofa (pig). Its description in RNAcentral is "lncRNA (ENSSSCG00025065123.1)". The record is from RNAcentral. Lineage: Eukaryota; Metazoa; Chordata; Mammalia; Artiodactyla; Suidae.